This 301-nucleotide ribosomal RNA is filed under the name uncultured bacterium. Its description in RNAcentral is "partial 16S ribosomal RNA". It matches the Rfam family "Bacterial small subunit ribosomal RNA", at positions 509 to 807 of the family's 1533-position model. The record is from RNAcentral.
CAGUCGCCACGGUAAUACAGAGGAUGCAAGCGUUAUCCUGAAUGAUUGGGCGUAAAGCGUCUGUAGGUGGCUUUUCAAGUCCGCCAUCAAAUCCUAGGGCUCAACCCUGGACAGGCGGUGGAAACUACCAAGCUGGAGUGCGGUAGGGGCAGAGGGGAUUUCCGGUGGAGCGGUGAAAUGCGCUGAGAUCGGAAAGAACACCAACGGCGAAAGCACUCUGCUGGGCUGACACUGACACUGAGAGACGAAAGCUAGGGGAGAAAAUGGGAUUAGAUACCCCAGUAGUCCCUGUCUCUUAUAC